AGUAAUGCCUAGGAAUCUGCCUGGUAGUGGGGGAUAACGUUCGGAAACGGACGCUAAUACCGCAUACGUCCUACGGGAGAAAGCAGGGGACCUUCGGGCCUUGCGCUAUCAGAUGAGCCUAGGUCGGAUUAGCUAGUUGGUGGGGUAAUGGCUCACCAAGGCGACGAUCCGUAACUGGUCUGAGAGGAUGAUCAGUCACACUGGAACUGAGACACGGUCCAGACUCCUACGGGAGGCAGCAGUGGGGAAUAUUGGACAAUGGGCGAAAGCCUGAUCCAGCCAUGCCGCGUGUGUGAAGAAGGUCUUCGGAUUGUAAAGCACUUUAAGUUGGGAGGAAGGGUUGUAGAUUAAUACUCUGCAAUUUUGACGUUACCGACAGAAUAAGCACCGGCUAACUCUGUGCCAGCAGCCGCGGUAAUACAGAGGGUGCAAGCGUUAAUCGGAAUUACUGGGCGUUAAAGCGCGCG
This 467-nucleotide ribosomal RNA is filed under the name Pseudomonas sp. R-35708. Its description in RNAcentral is "bacterial SSU rRNA". It matches the Rfam family "Bacterial small subunit ribosomal RNA", at positions 109 to 571 of the family's 1533-position model. Lineage: Bacteria; Pseudomonadati; Pseudomonadota; Gammaproteobacteria; Pseudomonadales; Pseudomonadaceae. The record is from RNAcentral.